UGAGCACAGCUAAACAUAUAAUUUUUUUUUUACAAGUUCUUAUGUGUGUUAGCUGGGCUCAUGA
RNAcentral lists this microRNA precursor (64 nucleotides) under Drosophila virilis. RNAcentral's name for it is "microRNA dvi-mir-9708c precursor". Lineage: Eukaryota; Metazoa; Arthropoda; Insecta; Diptera; Drosophilidae. The record is from miRBase by way of RNAcentral.